CAGAUUAUAGUUUAACUAAAAUAUAAAGUUUGGGACUUUAAGAUUAGGGUCUGAAGCUCUGUUUAUAUGGC
Molecule: transfer RNA, 71 nt
Filed under: Trichinella papuae
Lineage: Eukaryota; Metazoa; Nematoda; Enoplea; Trichinellida; Trichinellidae
Description: tRNA-Pro
Source: RNAcentral